GUGUCCAUCGUCUAGCGGCCCAGGACUCCUCCCCUUCCGGGAGGCAACGCCGGUUCGAAUCCGGCUGGACACA
RNAcentral lists this transfer RNA (73 nucleotides) under Streptomyces alfalfae. RNAcentral's name for it is "tRNA-Glu". It matches the Rfam family "tRNA". From Rfam's summary of the family: Transfer RNA (tRNA) molecules are approximately 80 nucleotides in length. Lineage: Bacteria; Bacillati; Actinomycetota; Actinomycetes; Kitasatosporales; Streptomycetaceae. The record is from RNAcentral.